CGGUGGAGUAUGUGGUUUAAUUCGACGCAACGCGCAGACUUACCUGGUCUUGACAUCCCGGGAAUCUUGUGGAAACACGAGAGUGCCUCGCAAGAGGAGCCUGGAGACAGGUGGUGCAUGGUUGUCGUCAGCUCGUGUCGUGAGAUGUUGGGUUAAGUCCCGCAACGAGCGCAACCCCUAUUGUUAGUUGCCAUCAUUCAGUUGGGCACUCUAGCGAGACUGCCGGUAAUAAACCGGAGGAAGGUGGGGAUGACGUCAAAUCAUCAUGCCCCUUAUGACCUGGGCUACACACGUGCUACAAUGGUUGGUACAACGAGUUGCGAGUCGGUGACGGCGAGCUAAUCUCUUAAAGCCAAUCUCAGUUCGGAUUGUAGGCUGCAACUCGCCUACAUGAAGUCGGAAUCGCUAGUAAUCGUGGAUCAGCCAAGCCGCGGUGAAUACGUUCCCGGGCCUU
Molecule: ribosomal RNA, 454 nt
Filed under: uncultured Streptococcus sp.
Lineage: Bacteria; Bacillati; Bacillota; Bacilli; Lactobacillales; Streptococcaceae
Description: bacterial SSU rRNA
Rfam family: Bacterial small subunit ribosomal RNA
Source: RNAcentral